GGUGCAACAAACCACCAUGGCACGUGUAUACCUAUAUAACAAACCUGCAAGUUCUGCACAUGUAUCCCAGAACUUAAAUUAUAAUUUAAAAAUUAAAAAAAGAAAGAUAAUUAUAAGUAGGCAUUGGUCAGGCUGCACUCUGGCCCACUUCUUUGGGGCUGCUUGCUAGCUGAAAGUCACACACUAGACCAUUUGCAUCCCCAUUGUUUCUACAGAUGGGACUUCUGAUGUUAGAAUCAUAAGACUUUUGUUUAAGAAUUGCUUAAGAUGUUCUUCAGAUCCUGAAUUCCAGCAGGCAUGGCUGACACCAACCAGUUUUUUAAGACUCCCACAACAAGGAACCAGAUCUGCUUGAGAAAACAGUUUCUUAUCUCCCUGUCCCAUGGCUUUACCCUGUACCCUUCAACCAUUCAAUGAUUCCCCAGACCUCAGCCCACUCCAAAUCCCUAAAAACCUCUGGCCCCAAACUCAUCUUGAAGAUGGAUUUGAGUUUUUCUUCCAUCUCCUCAUUUGGUUGCCUUAUGAUUAAACCUCUUUCUCUGGCAAUUAACCUGGUACAGUUACCAACCUGUGGAGUCUGAUGCUAUCUCCAGGUAAUGAGUGUCAGAACUGAAUUAAAUUAAGGGAUAGUGUGAUCCCAGCUCACUGCAACCUCUGCCUCCUGUGUUCAAGUGAUUCUCCUGCCUCAACCUCCCAAAUAGCUGGGACUACAGGCAGGUGCCACCACGCCUGGGUUAUUUUGUAUUUUUAGUAGAGAUGAGGUUUCACCAUAUUACCCAGGCUGGUCUCGAACUCCUGACCUCAGAUGAUCCACCCAACCUCGGCUGCACAAAGUGCAGGGAUUAUAGGUGUGAGCCACUGUGCCGUGAUCUGGUAUACUUAAACAUCAGAGAGACAAACAUGGAGACAGCACGCAUCACACACUCAAAGCCGGCGAUCCAUUUUCUAGGCACAUAUUCCCAUAAUGGGACAGAGAACUGACGGCAAAGUCUAGCAGGUGUGGAGGCUGCACUGGAAGCACCUGGAUGCCUGGUUUCAACUGCCUGCCCUUGAGUGGGCCACAUGGCAACAAGCAUCUCCUGGUAAUAGUGAUGGACUGAGGCCAGACACCCCCUUCUUGUUGGCUGGGCAAACUGUCAUCCCCUUAGAUUACAAAUGGUUAGGAUGAAGUAUUUACCCAAAUGACGUUGCUCAGUGUGGGGGUGUGGCAUAAGGUGGCUAACUUAUUUAUUAAAGCUGAUU
RNAcentral lists this long non-coding RNA (1242 nucleotides) under Callithrix jacchus (white-tufted-ear marmoset). Its description in RNAcentral is "lncRNA (ENSCJAG00000086816.1)". Lineage: Eukaryota; Metazoa; Chordata; Mammalia; Primates; Cebidae. The record is from RNAcentral.